This 253-nucleotide ribosomal RNA is filed under the name uncultured bacterium. Its description in RNAcentral is "partial 16S ribosomal RNA". It matches the Rfam family "Bacterial small subunit ribosomal RNA", at positions 524 to 776 of the family's 1533-position model. The record is from RNAcentral.
GACGUAGGGGGCAAGCGUUGUUCGGAAUUACUGGGUGUAAAGGGUUCGUAGGCGGUGCGGCAAGUUGGGAGUGAAAUCUCUGGGCUUAACCCAGAGGCUGCUUCCAAAACUGCUGGGCUUGAGUGUGGGAGAGGCGCGUGGAAUUGCAGGUGUAGCGGUGAAAUGCGUAGAUAUCUGCAGGAACACCCGUGGCGAAAGCGGCGCGCUGGACCACUACUGACGCUGAGGAACGAAAGCUAGGGGAGCAAACAGG